AUUGAACGCUGGCGGCAUGCUUUACACAUGCAAGUCGAACGGUAACAGGCCGCAAGGUGCUGACGAGUGGCGAACGGGUGAGUAAUGCAUCGGAACGUGCCCAGUCGUGGGGGAUAACGCAGCGAAAGCUGCGCUAAUACCGCAUACGAUCUAUGGAUGAAAGCGGGGGACCGUAAGGCCUCGCGCGAUUGGAGCGGCCGAUGUCAGAUUAGGUAGUUGGUGGGGUAAAGGCUCACCAAGCCGACGAUCUGUAGCUGGUCUGAGAGGACGACCAGACACACUGGGACUGAGACGCGGCCCAGACUCCUACGGGAGGCAGCAGUGGGGAAUUUUGGACAAUGGGCGCAAGCCUGAUCCAGCAAUGCCGCGUGCAGGAAGAAGGCCUUCGGGUUGUAAACUGCUUUUGUACGGAACGAAAAGGCUCUGGUUAAUACCUGGGGCUCAUGACGGUACCGUAAGAAUAAGCACCGGCUAACUACGUGCCAGCAGCCGCCGCAG
RNAcentral lists this ribosomal RNA (498 nucleotides) under uncultured bacterium. RNAcentral's name for it is "partial 16S ribosomal RNA". It matches the Rfam family "Bacterial small subunit ribosomal RNA", at positions 29 to 523 of the family's 1533-position model. The record is from RNAcentral.